Molecule: unclassified non-coding RNA, 199 nt
Filed under: Leea guineensis
Lineage: Eukaryota; Viridiplantae; Streptophyta; Magnoliopsida; Vitales; Leeaceae
Description: partial external transcribed spacer
Source: RNAcentral
CGAUGGCCCGCGGAGGGCGCUCGUGCUCUCGGACGCGGAACAGCAAGACGGGCGCGGGACCUUGCGUCCUAGACCCGCCCGACCGAGCUAAAAGCUUUCGUCGCUAGACACGUACGACCGCCGUAACCGCCUUGCCCUCUCGUCCCGCCCGGUGCGGCUCGACUAGGUGCAUGCGCUGCUCGGCGUCGCACAGGAAUGC